Molecule: long non-coding RNA, 5199 nt
Filed under: Homo sapiens (human)
Lineage: Eukaryota; Metazoa; Chordata; Mammalia; Primates; Hominidae
Description: non-protein coding lnc-RASL11B-11:1
Source: RNAcentral
CAGAGCACAGCCUCUAUUGCCUUCCUGUUAAGCGAGCAGGAUUCAGACACCAGGAACCCUCCGGUCCCACUGGCCACGUGCUCAGGGCUGGGUAAUUUCCUCCCGCUCAAGGGUAGGAACAUACCUGCGCUUAAAACUGAGGCUGCCGCACCUCCGCAGACGUAGACAACGAAUUCCUGGAGCCCAAGGUCGGCCGGGGUUGGGUUCCUGUCGCCGCACGCGUGGCCCGCCCGAAACCCGCUACAAAGUAGCGGCGUGUCUGCCCUAGGGAGGCAAAGCGCAAACUUGUUACCGCGCCGGGACCUGCCCCGGGAUUCUCCCAGCGGCUCCGCAGGACGCAGCGCCUGUGCCUCGCGCGGCCCUGGGACGGGCACGGCCGUCCGCCCCCUGGGCCGCCGAGGGCUGCUUUACCCCUCCGUUCUGGCCGCGGGCAGCAGAGGAGCUCGGGGCGGGCAAAGCUCGAGGGGACACGGGGCGAGCCCAGACCCUGCCUGGGAGCCCUCCCCGCCGGAGACCAAAGGGCAGAAACGCACUCACAGUGCAACUCCGAGGGAUAAACUGGCCGACGAUCGCCGCCAGGCCAGAAGACCAAGAAGAAGGCUCGCGGCGGGAACUGAAGUAUUCAGCACGCCUUCAUCAGGUGUGUACUCUGUGCCAGGCAAUCUUCUAAUCCUUAAAUGGACGAAACAAAGGCCUCCCUUGGACUGACAUUUUUAAUGAAGAAUAAAAACCCAUAAUGAAAUAUAAAAAUAUUAACGUUAUAAGAGCUAAGGGAAAAAACAUGUGUUACAACUUGAAAAUACAAAAAUAGGAAAUCAUCUUUCUCUGUGGACGAAUGAAACCCCUGAUUCUAAGAAACAAAGAAACAAAACUCAUCAUGACUGGUGUUCUGUACUCUUUGGAAAAUACGUUUUACUGUAGAAAUGACUAAAUGCGAUGAAAGACUCUUUACCAGAAGCAGUGGCUGGUUGGCGGCGCCUGUACGCCUGAGGAGCACCCUUUUUGUGUCCAUGUUUGAUAAAGCAGAAGAGACCUAAAGAGACAAGGGGCGGCCGGGCGCGGUGGCUCACUCCUGUAAUCCCAGCACUUUGGGAGGCCGAGGCGGGCAGAUCAUCUGAGAUCGGGAGUUCGAGACCAGCCUGACCAACAUGGAGAAACCCCGUCUAUACUAAAAAUACACAAUUAACCGGUUAUAGUGGCGCAUGCCUGUAAUGCCAGCUACUUGGGAGGCUGAAGCAGGAAAAUCGCUUGAGGCAGAGGUUGCGGUGAACCGAGACUGCGCUAUUGCACUCCAGCGGGCAACAAGAGCCAAACUCUGUCUCAAAAACAAACAAACAAACAAACAAACAAAAAAAAAACCACAAGGGCCAUCGCUCUGGGGCGUGGGACAUAUGGUCCGCAGUUGGGAUACUAACUGUUGUAUGGAUGGGGGAGUGGUCCUCAAACCCUGGAGCUUCUCAGUCCCUGCCUCUUUCAACCUCUAAAUGGGCCCACUGCUUUUCCCUUCCCACUGUUCUGCCGGCUGGAGCACCCCCAGCACCAGCAGCGCGGCUCCCACGCCUCUGGUCUGGGCUCUGCCAGCCCCACGGGUCUAAGCUCUCCCCAGGCCAUUAUUUUUUGUCUCCUCUUUCUUCAUUGAGGUCCUCUCUCUGUCACUUGCUCUUUUGCCUGGCUCAAGACAUGGGUUUAAACACUGUUUAUACUACCCCUUGCUAAUGUUGACUCACUACCCCAUAUCUUUUUCUUUUUUCUUUUUUUUUCCAAGUAGCACUCUUUGAGAUGUCCUUUUAUUGAUGUUUCUUUACACGUUGUUUUUACAUGCAUUACAGUGUGAUGAACAUAUCCAUCCACUGAAAUAACAUUAUUCUCAACUACGCAAAAGAAAGCAAUACUCUUAGAAGAAUCCUUUCUGCAUAUGUCUUUAGACACUUUUACAUUCAUAACACUGGUCACCAACCCAUUUCUAUGUUUAAGUAACUUGACUUUUUCUCCUUCUCCCUUUCUCUACCUAUUAAAUUCACAUUUUAUUUUACCCCAAGCUACUUUUACCUAGUACAGUGUCUAUGUUUUUCACUGUAAGAUUGAGUAAGGCCAGAGAUGAGGAGAAUAGUGAUUGUGAAAUAAAAUGAAAGAUAUACUCAAUUCUUGGGAGCAAUAGCCUUGUUGUUGGGUUAUGUUUAUUCAUUUAUAAAACUAAUGAGAACCUACCAUAGUCAAGCACUGUAGUAGACCUGAGAGAAAAUAGUGAAUAAAACCCCAAAUCAAGGACCUUGCCCUUGUGGAACUUUUAGUAUAGUAUAUGGAACAGGCAUUGAUACACGAAUCCUGUAUAAAUGUAAAAUUACCACUUAAGAGCUGGAGUGGUGGUGUCAGGGACCUAGCUGUCAGUUUGAGGGAAGGAUGAUUAAGCACAAAAUUGAAGAUCAUUUUAUAAAGCAAAAGAGUGGAGCUUGGGGUAUAGGUAGAGGAAAGAGGAUGUACAGUGUGUGUGCUCUAGGAAGGAGCUCACUGUAUCCAUGGACAUGUAGAAAGGCUGCCAUGACUUUCUACACAAAAAGCCAAGGGGUGAGGUGGGGUGGAGAGAGAUAUAGGAUAAGGCAUGAUAUAAUCUGGGCUACAGAGGGGAUGUGGCUGGAGAUGCUGGUGACUGCCAGACCAUGCUGGACUUUGUAGACCAUGUUUAAAAUGUCCAUAAAUGAUGCUCAUUAAUAAUGUGUUGUAUAAAUGCAUGUCAAUAAAAGUUGAUGUUUGCAAGACCAGCAUGUGUUCAGGCCAGCAUGUUCACAGCUAAUAAUAGCUAACCAUUAUUGCACACUUAUUUCAUUCUUUGCACUCCUUUAACUGCUCUGUAUAGAUUAUCUCAUUUAAUUUUUCCAGCUACUGUACCCAAUAGGCAAGAUUAAAUUCCUCAUUUUAGGCAGAGUGUGGUGGCACAUACCAGUAAUUUCAGUGUUUGGGAGACCGAUGUAGGAGGAUCACUUGAGGCCAGGAGUUCAAGACCAGCCUGAGAAAAAUUAGCCUAUUGUGGUGGCAUGUGCCUGUAGUCUCAGCUACUCAGGACGCUGAGGUGAGAGGCAGUGAGCUAUGAUAGUACCACUGCAUGCCUCGGUGACAGAGCAAGAUCCCAUCUCUAAAUUUUUUUUUUUUUUUUUUUGAGACGGAGUCUCGCUCUGUUGCCCAGGCUGGAGAGCAGUGCUGUAAUGUCUGCUCACUGCAACCUCCUCCUCCCGGGUUUAAGCGAUUCUCCAGCCUCAGCCUCCUGAGUAGCUGGGAUUACAGGUGCGCAUCACCAUGCCUGGAUAAUUUUUGUAUUUUUAGUAGAGACAAGGUUUCACCAUGUUGGUCAGGCUGGUCUCGAACUCCUGACUUCAUGAUCCACCCGCCUCAGCCUCCCAAAGUGCUGGGAUUACAGGGGUGAGUCACCACACCUGACCUCUAAAAAUUUUUUAAAAAAUCUUCAUUUUGCCCUUGAGGAUCCACAUAUUGCUUUUUUUUUUUUUUGAGAUCUAGUCUAUUCCCAGUCCAAUAGUGUAGAUGGUUAGUAAACAUAUUAGGAGUUCUGAGCACAUCUAAUCAGUGUAGUAGCUCGUGACUCAAAUGCCACUCUAACAGUUGCACAUGUGUGCACAAACACAAAUUUAGAAAAUUGAAAUUACAGCUGCAAUGGCAAGACGGUAGACACAGAAUUCCAUGGCAGCAUGGAAUUCUCAAUUUCUGUAACUUUGAAGGUGCUUUUCUUUAAAAAAUUGUGGGUCUUAAUUUGGAAUGCUUUAAAAUACAGAAUUAUAUUAAGGCAGUCAUAUUGGAAGAUGCAUGUUGACCUGCUGAACCUAAAUAAUACAGCUUCCUCUCCUGUAGGAUUUGAUGAUAUGGAUUUUAAAUAGUGCUUUUUCUUUAAAAAAAGUUCCUUAAAAUGAUUACAUAUUAUCCAUUAUGCUUAGCAUCCAAUGUAUUCUAUGAAAUCACUAUAUAAAUUAAAGUAAUAAUUUAUACAGUAUGGUCAGACUAAUUAGCAUAAGGCACUCAGUUGAAAGUAGAGCUGAAAUAAAUGAUUGAACUCUAUUAAAGAAAAUUGAGUGAAGAGACAGACCAGCUUCUUCUGUAGCAUGAUUUUAAUGAGGCUGCUGAGUUGAGUUCUGUUCUGUAUCAAAAAGGGAACACAAAUCUCUUGAGGUUCUAUUUCUGGCUCUACCAAAGGCUUUGCUCUUAUACCUAGAGCAAGAUGGAACCUGUUACUUUUUUUCAAUCUGCAAAAUGCAGGCAAUGUUUUUAGCUUUUUUCACAGGAGUAGCAGGAUUAAUGAGUACCACAAAUGGCUUUCCCUAUUUUGUAACUGCAAAUGCAUUCUUGUUGCCAUAUUUUCAUGAGAAAUGAACAUCUGCUGGUUUUUUCCAAUAAGGCUAAAACUUUCAAAUGUGGAAUAUGUAGGUUAUGAGCUCCACUUUAAAAUUCCAGUUCCAAGUUUAAACAAAAGGAGAAUAAGAUAAAUAUUUCAAGUACUAACAAAACAGUAAAGAAGGAAGUGAAAGUGUUCUUAUAAAUGGAGAUCUUUUUUUUUUUUUUGGAAAUCUAUUUAUUUUCGGUAAGAUUAGUAAGAGUAUCUGAAAUAUGUUAUUAAAGCUUAUGUUGAACGAGGCUGGUUUGCUGGAAAAGAUAAUUUCAAAAGUAAAUUGGUAUGUCCAUGGGAAUUAAUAUGGCAAGCCUGUUGAGAAGUUUGUAAUUUGUUAGUUUUUAUUUUAUUUUAUUUAGAGACAGAGCCUUGCUAUGUUUCCCAGGCUAGAGUGCAGUGGCUAUUCACAGGCAUGAUCAUAGCACGCUACAGCCCUGAACUCCUGCGCUUGGAUGGUGGGCAUGUCUUGCCAGAUAGCAGUAACUCGAGCAGACCCUGCGAAUUACCCUAUGUUUCUUGGUGAAUGUUUGUUCAGUGUUCUGAGGUAUGGACCCCAGGAAUGGCUAAAUCAGAUGUUUACACCAUACCUGUAAGAACACCAGGACCCUGACUCGUUCCUUGGAACACAAGUCAUACAAGGAAGCGAAGGCCUUUGUUUUGAGCGGAGUAGAGGCUACUAAGUAGAGGCUGCCAAACGAAAAUACCUUUAUAACUUACAUGUUAUUCACAAAAUAGCAGUGGUUUUCCUGUCCAGCAUGCCACUCCUGGAUGCCCGGUAUGUAAGCCCCCGGAAUAAAACUCCAUGUCUU